RNAcentral lists this long non-coding RNA (829 nucleotides) under Bos indicus x Bos taurus (hybrid cattle). RNAcentral's name for it is "lncRNA (ENSBIXG00005012179.1)". The record is from RNAcentral. Lineage: Eukaryota; Metazoa; Chordata; Mammalia; Artiodactyla; Bovidae.
UGUCAAGCCAGCCAUGCUUCACUGAACUCCCUUCCACUUUGUUGCCAUGCUUCCUCUUUCUGGUUAAGUGAACCUCAAAACAAUGACAAAGAAAUAUGCCCCCGAGUCACAUAUUCUAAGAAAUAGACUGUACUCUCCUCAAAUCGAAAUAAAGGCACUUUAAUUCUUUGGAUUUUUCCACAUUUUCGUUGCUAAAGCUCCUAUUUGCUUUCUUUGAAUCUGUAUCAGUUCAUGCAAGUUCUACCAGGGGGGGAAGCGACACAAGACCCUGCCACUUUAGCACGUGAAAUAUUAAGAUGAACAGAGCCCGUAAAAGUGUCUUGUCUGGUGCUGAAGCUGCAGCCCCAGCUUCUAUUGGAGUCUCUGGCCAGCAUUGGGGAGCUCUCACAGCCACCCCUGCUUGACCUGGUCCAGUCUGGACAAACACGUGCAUGCUAUGCCUCUGUGUCUCAUGAAACUGUACUAUACCUGCUGGACUGAAUGGAAAUCGACAGAUUCAUCUCCUGAGGAUGGCCGUAUCUGUGGUGGACAAGCAAGUCCUCCUCUACAUCCAAAAGAAGCUUGAUCUUACCCUUUAGAAUCCAUUUUACAUCAAAGUGGGGAACCUGGAAAUAUUGAAUGUCCUCUGAGUUCAUGGGGCUUUGGCAGUGGGAAAGCUAAACAAAACGGAGCACAGAGAGAGUGUGAGACAGACUUUCCCAAGAUCCCCAGGUGGGUUUCAUAUACUGCCUACCUCAAGAGUGAGUCUGGUUCAGCUUCCCACAGUGGCCAUAAGGGCCAAAUUAUCUUACCCCAGCUAUUGUUCGCUGCUAGAGCCAGAUCUACAAAG